This 460-nucleotide ribosomal RNA is filed under the name uncultured bacterium. Its description in RNAcentral is "partial 16S ribosomal RNA". It matches the Rfam family "Bacterial small subunit ribosomal RNA", at positions 338 to 795 of the family's 1533-position model. The record is from RNAcentral.
CCUACGGGAGGCUGCAGUGAGGAAUAUUGGUCAAUGGACGAGAGUCUGAACCAGCAAAGUAGCGUGAAGGAUGACUGCUCUAUGGGUUUUAAACUUCUUUUAUAUGGGAAUAAAAUGUUCCACGUGUGGGAUUUUGUAUGUACCAUAUGAAUAAGGAUCGGCUAACCUCGUGCCAGCAGCCGCGGUAAUACGGAGGAUCCGAGCGUUCUCCGGAUUUAUUGGGUUUAAAGGGAGCGUAGGUGGAUUGUUAAGUCAGUUGUGAAAGUUUGCGGCUCAACCGUAAAAUGGCAGUUGAAACUGGCAGACUUGAGUACAGUAGAGGUGAGCGGAAUUCGAGGUGUAGCGGUGAAAUGCUUAGAUAUCACGAAGAACACCAGUUGCGAAGGCAGCUCACUGGACUGCAACUGACGCUGAGGCUCGAAAGUGUGGGUAUCAAACAGGAUUAGAUACCCCAGUAGUC